This is a non-coding RNA of Chlorocebus sabaeus (green monkey), 4838 nucleotides long. NCBI's taxonomy places the organism in Eukaryota, Metazoa, Chordata, Mammalia, Primates, Cercopithecidae. The record is from RefSeq and is a predicted model, not a curated record.
UCUUCCCUGAAUCUAUUCAGAGAACAUCCAUAAAAGGACCUGCUAGUCUCCCGGAGCAGAAAAUAUACUACUUUUGAAUAGGAAUAUCUAGGUUUGAGUUCUGGUUCCCCAUUUCAAGCAAGUGAGUGAACUUCUCUGAGUCUCAAUUGUCCUUGAUAAUUAAAUGAGAAGAACAAUGAUUGUCUUGUGGUCCUCACAUGGUGGUUGUUAGGAUCAAAUGAGACAGGCCAUGCACAUGACAUGCAGCAUGUUGGGACGACCAAGUAGAAGCCAGACAUGGAGAGAGAAGAGAGAAUGAAAGGUAUCUGAGAUGGUGACAUGUCCCGGCAGGCUGUGAUUCAGCUAACUUGAAGUGAAUGAAAGACAACAAGAAGCAGAGAGCCAAGUUGUUACCAUAUGACCCUCCGAUAGGGCAUUUUUCUCUGUCUCUGAAAUAGAAAUAAUAUCUGGUGUGUUGGUAUCAGAGAAUUCUAGUAAGAAAGAAAUGCAUUAUAAUUUGUGUAUGUGCUGGGGAACAGACCAACAGACCAACCAUGCCCUACAGUUGAAACAAUGAAGUAGCAUCAACAACAGAACUAACUUAAACCUAAGAAUCAACUGACAAGACAUUAAGCUGAUCAUUCAUCACCCUCAGGAACCUUGUUUAAGCUUUCGGAGCUUCAUUGCAUUAACUUAUAAAUAUAUAAUCUGCACCCCAGAUGCUCAAAAUGUGGCUUAUGGAUCAGCAAUGUCAGUAUCAGCAGGAAACUUGUAAGAAAUGCACACUCUUGGGUCCUCGGCCCAGAACUUCUGAGUAGAUACUCAGAAAUGAGUAUCUACAAAUGAGUAGAUACUCAGAGGUAUGUAUAAGUGCAUACUCUAUUUAACAAAUAUGAAUAUGUACGCUAUUUAACAAAGUCUCAUAUGCAUAUUAAAGUUUGAGACACCCUUUUUCAUCCACAGAGUUGAGAAAAAUAUUAACCAAUAUAGCACAUCAGAGAAUUGCUUCAAAGUUAGUAAUGACCAGUUAAUAAAGUCUUUGUAUAUGACAGCUCAAGAAGUAGGAGAACUUCUAAUGCUACUGUAAUUUAAGCCAUGUUGUAUCACUUCCCCAGAGUAGAAUGUAAGUUUUUUUUUAAACCAUGUCCCACUUUAUGCCUUCCCAGUUAUAUUCCAGCUCUUAAUAUGUGUGAAUGUGAACCAAGGCCAAGCAGGCUGAAUGCAGUUUGUGUUCAAAAGGUAGAUGCCUGGAUUUCAAUCUUGUCUUGACCACUUACUUACUCUCAGUGUGACUUGAGCCAUUUACUUAUCCUUCUGUCUCAGUUUCUUCACUUGUAAAAUGAGAAUGAUGAUGUUAUCUGUCUCCUAGCUGUGCUAAAAGAUUAAACAAGAUAAUCCAUGCAAAUAACUUAGCACAAUGCUUCAUAUGUAGCAAUGUUCCCUUCCUUGUCUGAAUUCUUACUAUGUCUAUUAGAAUUUGCUUUGGUUCAUAAUAAACUCUGUCAUAUGUUGUUUCCAUAUUUGUAUUUUAAGAACCUUGAUGAAAAGUUGCUGUCUUAUACUGGUGUUUUUAAAGCCACAAAUGGAUUAUCUGUCUAAAGUCUGUUAGUUGAGACAGUAUGGCAUUUGGAAUGCAUUUUUUUCAGUAGGGUCUUAACCUAAUCCUCAAAUGUAUGUCCAAGUAAUGAUCAAGCUUAUACUAGUUAUACCAUGGUUAGUACUACGUCUAGCAGUACUACUAUAGUAGUCAUACUAUAGUAACUAACAACCUUUAAGAUAAUAUGUCUAUUGGAAAACACAUUUACUGUUAUCUUUUGGACUCCUUCUGCUUCAAUAGAUUUAGUGUUUUUCUCUAGGGAGUUGGGAAGUCAAAAGCUAGCUGGAGGUAAGGAUAGGGCUCAGUGCCCCAGAAGUCAGGUCCAACCUGCUAGUACUGUUCCAUGUGUGUAUUGGUUACACCUGACAUUUCCCAAUCUCUCUGAGGAAUAGGGUGGUAAAUACCUGUGUAGAUAGAGAGAUGCCCCAGCCUUAGAGCUAAAAGUAUUAGAUUUGUGUCUCAGCUUUCAUGUCUACUAAAUUUUGAGCCUUAUUUAAUUUAAAUCAUCUGGGCUUUGACUUCCUUAUUUAUAAAAUAGAAAGAAAUACCAGUAUUUUAACCAGCUGACUCCAAAAACAAAUAUUUUAUUAGAGAUAUCUUUAUAAACCCUUAAUAUUUAGAAAAAGCAUUAAGAAGAAAUUAAAGUGAUGUGGAUGAUAAAAGUAUUCCCCCGACCCUUGACUUUGGUGCCUUCUCUCCUCUUAUAAAGAUAUUAAGCAAAAUCUAUGCUUUGGGUAUGCUUUAUGAUUCUUCAUGGAAAUCCCUGAGAGAGGUAUUAAAAGUAACUAGUGAAAUUGAUUUCUGUCAGCACCACAAUUACUAUUUAUUUCCACCAUUGACUCAACAUAGAGACUGCCACAUGAUACCGGAGAAUGUUAAAAGCUGCCCUUAAGUAGCUCCCCCACUGGCUUCCUAUGGGGUUAAGUCUCUGUAAUGGCAUUAUUCCUUCAGGGUUUCUAGUGGAGCUAGGGUUUUUUUUUUUUUCUUUUUUCCUUUCUGAUCUGGGUCAAGCCUAAUGUGUUAUCCUAGGAGGGUUCAUAUAUUAGCUAGUUAACAUAUUAGCAGGGGUUAUUGUCUCUGAUUAAAUCAUUACUACCCACUGUCUUGUAGGAAAGAAAAGGACCCUGGGGGAUCAGGGCACAUGAUGGACACAUGUUGAUGAAAGGGAAGCAAAAUCAGAAGAAUGGCAGUUUGGAUCCAGUUAAAAUUUUGGCCCAAUGGUUUUUAGGCACUAAAUCACUGAAAUUAGGUCUGUAGAAGAGGAUUCAAGAAAAAAUAAAUUCCUAAUGUAUUACCUUUUCGAGAGCCAGGCUUUGUUUGCAUCUUGGAUAUCAUAUGUAGUUCAACGUAGACUCCAUAUAAAAGUAUUAAUAUUAAGGCUUUUUAGAUUCCGUUGAUAAAACUAGUGGUUAAACAGCUUCAUCAAAGAGGUUUCUCCCAUUAUUGUCAACAUACAAAACACACUUUGGAAAAUUUGCUUCAGUUUUCACUUAAUUUCAUAUAUGUACAUUAGCUUACAAAUAAAAAUAUUUUAGAAUAAUUUGUAAUUUAAAAUAAAACAUCAAUUCUUUAUGUUUUCUAAUAUUUUUGGGCCCUGGAAAAUUUUCAUCUCAUAGACCUAAAGCUGUAAGAUGAUAAUAUUUAAAUGCAAGUCACAAGCUUCAAUUAGGUACAAUCAGAAAUCAUGCGGUGACUUCAUUAAGUAUCAUUAAGAAUGAUCAAAAUAUUGCUCUUAGGAAAAAUACAUCAAAAGCAUUGCAUUUACACAUUGAUUAAACAGGAUCUGCAAUUUCUAAAAUCUGGUAUGAGAAAAAAGAAUGGAGUAAAUUAAGUGCUCAUAUCCCACUUAGCAACAAGGGAGUGCUUAGCAACUGGCAAAGGAAGAAAUAAAGGGAGAUGGUAGGAAACAAAAUAUGAUCAGCCUCUGAAAAGGGUGAGAAAUCAAGAAAUGACAAUGUAACUAAUUGGGGAUGGAGGAGAGGUUGCAGUCCCAGAAGCAGAGGGCCACAAAGUCACCCCGCUUUUUGAAAGUUUUAAAAAUUAUUUUUAUUUCCUUUGUAACCAUAGGAAAUUAGGCUCAUAAUUAGGAAUCAAGGGCACAGGGAAGACUCUCUCCAAAACCAUGACUGUGAUCCGAGUCAUGUGUGGUGAGAGGCAUGCAGUCCUUUAUAAGCUCUUUUCUCUUUUCCUCAUGCACUCAGUGUGCAAUCUAGCUCUCAGUUCUAUAAGGUCUUACGUCCGAAGGAGGCUUAGGAGGACUUGAUAUUAUAUCCAUUUGACAACUUUUAAAGAGUAUUAUUGUUCUAAUCAUGUCCCGUGUCCCCCUUGUUUUCUGUUUGAUUUGCCUUCCCUGGAUAUCCCAUUUAUCCCAGGCCUUUGGCUCCUGGCUUAUAAUGAUCGUUUCCAACUCUUCUUAUCCAGUCAGAGAUAUCUUUUUCCUGUGCUUAAAUCUGUGCCCAUGAAUUUCCCAGAGGCCAUUCAAACCUACCCUCAGACCUCAGCCUCCCCAUUCUCUUACUACUUUCUUCAUCAUCACCUUACGAAGGCCCUUGUUCAUGCAGGCAACAUAUCCAGGAACCUCCCCAUUUCAGUCUCCUCACUCCAAUAUUUAGUUGGUUUGCUGAUUCUCUCUCUGAAAUACAUCCCAAACUCACUCUUCUUUACAAUCAAUCUGAGGUAAAAAAUUCAUGAUCUCUUAUCAGGAGAAACAUCUAAAUUCUUAGCAUCACAUGAAGGGACUUAAUAAUCUGGCCAAAUUAAUGUUUCUUUUUAACCUUGAUUCUGCUACUUCUUCCUUGCACACAGACAUGCUCUGGGCAUAUUAAACAGAUAAAUUUUUCUAGGACAUGUGUUUUCUGAUACCUGUUGUCCAAAACUUAUGGUGUGAUCUCCUUGUAGAAUAAUCUUUCCUUUUUAUUAUUAUUUUUUUGAGCCAGAAAAACUCUCACAGAGUCUUAAUGUUGACCUCUUUAUUUCAUUCUUGGUAUCGGGCUUAUGGUAACUUCUCCUAUCAAUUUUGUUUAUCAAAGAAAUCCCAAAGGAACAGACAUUUACAAUGUAAUUUCAUAUAUUACAGAACACAUCACUGAAAGCAGUAGACAUUCAAUUAAUAUCUGUUUAAUUGAAUUAAAUAUAUGGACAAGAACCCAAUUUUCCCAGAAUCAGAGCUUACAGAUCAAGAGUUGAAAACUUUUCUGUAAAGAGCUAGAUAGUAAAUAUUUCAGGCUGUACAGGCCAUAUGGUCUCUGUUGCAACAAUUAAA